Molecule: ribosomal RNA, 250 nt
Filed under: uncultured bacterium
Lineage: Bacteria
Description: partial 16S ribosomal RNA
Rfam family: Bacterial small subunit ribosomal RNA
Source: RNAcentral
UACGUAGGGGGCAAGCGUUAUCCGGAAUUACUGGGUGUAAAGGGUGAGUAGGCGGCAUGGUAAGUUAGAUGUGAAAGCCCCGGGCUUAACCUGGGGAUUGCAUUUAAAACUAUCAAGCUAGAGUACAGGAGAGGAAAGCGGAAUUCCUAGUGUAGCGGUGAAAUGCGUAGAUAUUAGGAAGAACACCAGUGGCGAAGGCGGCUUUCUGGACUGAAAUUGACGCUGAGGCACGAAAGCGUGGGGGGCGAAC